This 301-nucleotide ribosomal RNA is filed under the name uncultured bacterium. RNAcentral describes it as "partial 16S ribosomal RNA". It matches the Rfam family "Bacterial small subunit ribosomal RNA", at positions 509 to 807 of the family's 1533-position model. The record is from RNAcentral.
CAGUAGCCGCGGUAAUACGAGGGGGGCAAGCGUUGUUCGGAAUUAUUGGGCGUAAGGGGUGCGUAGGCGGUUUGAUAAGUCUCGUGUGAAAUCUCUGGGCUCAACCCAGAGUCUGCACGGGAAACUGUCGGGCUUGAGUAUGGGAGAGGUGAGUGGAAUUUCCGGUGUAGCGGUGAAAUGCGUAGAUAUCAGAAGGAACACCUGUGGCGAAAGCGGCUCACUGGACCAUAACUGACGCUGAGGCACGAAAGCUAGGGGAGCAAACAGGAUUAGAUACCCCAGUAGUCCCUGUCUCUUAUAC